GACGAACGCUGGCGGCGUGCUUAACACAUGCAAGUCGAACGGAAAGUCCCUGCCUUUUUGCGGUGCUCGACUUGCGAACGGGUGAGUAACACGUGAGUAACCUGCCCUUGACCUUGGGAUAACUUCAGGAAACUGGGGCUAAUACCGGCUAGGAGCACCUGCUGCAUGGUGGGGGUUGGAAAGUUUCGGCGGUUGGGGAUGGACUCGCGGCUUAUCAGCUAGUUGGUGGGGUAGUGGCUUACCAAGGCUUGGACCGGUAGCCGGCCUGAGAGGGAGACCGGCCAGACUGGGACGGAGUGACGGCCCAGACAGAUACGGGAGGCAGGAGUGGGGGAUGUAGCAUGGUGGGCGGACGCCUGAUGCAGCAACCCCGGGUGCGGGAUGGCGGCAUUCGGGAGGGAAGCAGCUUUCGCCUGUGACGAAGCGUAAUGACCGGAAAUGGGGAAAGAGGCACCGGCAAACUACGU
This 467-nucleotide ribosomal RNA is filed under the name uncultured bacterium. Its description in RNAcentral is "partial 16S ribosomal RNA". It matches the Rfam family "Bacterial small subunit ribosomal RNA", at positions 28 to 506 of the family's 1533-position model. The record is from RNAcentral.